UGGUCCCAGCCUUGAAAUCAGUUCUUACUUAAUAUACACAUGCAAGUAUCCGCACCCCCGUGAAAACGCCCUUAACCCCUCCAAGGGGACAGGAGCUGGUAUCAGGCACAAAAAUUAGCCCAAGACACCUAGCUACGCCACACCCCCACGGGCCCUCAGCAGUGAUUAACCUUGAAAAUAAGCGACAGCUUGAAUCAGUUAAAGUAAAAAGAGCCGGCAAAUCUGGUGCCAGCCGCCGCGGUUACACCACGUGGCUCAAACUGACCCCUUUCGGCGUAAAGCGUGAUUAAAGUAAACACCACAACUGCAAUUAAAUUAGGGUUAGGCUGUGGCACGCUUACCCUCAAGAAACCCAAAAACGAAAGUCAUUGCAACUAUAACUUGAAUUCACGACAGUUAGGACACAAACUGGGAUUAGAUACCCCACUAUGCCUAACCGUAAACUAUUAAUUACACCCCUCAAUCGCCCGGGAACUACGAGCAAAGCUUAAAACCCAAAGGACUUGACGGUACCCCAUAUCCACCUAGAGGAGCCUGUCCUAUAAUCGAUAACCCCCGUUUUACCUCACCAUUUUUAGCCUUUCAGCCUGUAUACCUCCGUCGUCAGCUUACCUCGUGAGCGCCAACUAGUGAGCUCAAUGCCCAUUCGCCAAUACGUCAGGUCAAGGUGCAGCACAUGAAGUGGAAAGAGAUGGGCUACACUAUCUAGAAUAGAUAAUACGAAAGACCACAUAUGAAAUCUGGUCAGAAGGCGGAUUUAGAAGUAAGGAGGGAUCAAACUGCCCCCCUUAACUUGGCACUGGGGUGUGUACACACCGCCCGUCACCCUCUUCAAAGCCCUCACCCACAGUUAAUUACACAAUCCGGCACCCUAGAAGAGGCAAGUCGUAACAUGGUAAGUAUACCGGAAGGUGUGCUUGGUAA
RNAcentral lists this non-coding RNA (924 nucleotides) under Dendropsophus oliveirai. Its description in RNAcentral is "partial 12S ribosomal RNA". It matches the Rfam family "Bacterial small subunit ribosomal RNA". The record is from RNAcentral. Lineage: Eukaryota; Metazoa; Chordata; Amphibia; Anura; Hylidae.